CCUACGGGAGGCAGCAGUGGGGAAUAUUGGACAAUGGGGGCAACCCUGAUCCAGCCAUGCCGCGUGUGUGAAGAAGGCCUUUUGGUUGUAAAGCACUUUAAGCAGGGAGGAGAGGCUAAUGGUUAAUACCCACUAGAUUAGACGUUACCUGCAGAAUAAGCACCGGCUAACUCUGUGCCAGCAGCCGCGGUAAUACAGAGGGUGCGAGCGUUAAUCGGAAUUACUGGGCGUAAAGCGAGUGUAGGUGGCUCAUUAAGUCACAUGUGAAAUCCCCGGGCUUAACCUGGGAACUGCAUGUGAUACUGGUGGUGCUAGAAUAUGUGAGAGGGAAGUAGAAUUCCAGGUGUAGCGGUGAAAUGCGUAGAGAUCUGGAGGAAUACCGAUGGCGAAGGCAGCUUUCUGGCAUAAUAUUGACACUGAGAUUCGAAAGCGUGGGUAGCAAACAGGAUUAGAUACCCUGGUAG
Molecule: ribosomal RNA, 464 nt
Filed under: uncultured bacterium
Lineage: Bacteria
Description: bacterial SSU rRNA
Rfam family: Bacterial small subunit ribosomal RNA
Source: RNAcentral